GACGGAGGGUGCUAGCGUUGUUCGGAAUGACUGGGCGUAAAGGGCGCGUAGGCGGCCGACCCAGUCGGGUGUGAAAGCCCGGGGCUCAACCCCGGAACGGCACCCGAUACUGGUUGGCUGGAGACCGAGAGAGGUGAGUGGAAUACCCAGUGUAGAGGUGAAAUUCGUAGAUAUUGGGUGGAACACCGGUGGCGAAAGCGGCCUUCUGGACAGUGACUGACGCUGAGACGCGAAAGCGUGGGGAGCAAACAGG
This 253-nucleotide ribosomal RNA is filed under the name uncultured bacterium. RNAcentral describes it as "partial 16S ribosomal RNA". It matches the Rfam family "Bacterial small subunit ribosomal RNA", at positions 524 to 776 of the family's 1533-position model. The record is from RNAcentral.